GGGGAUAAACACAGACUUCGAAGCUGGAGUGAAGUCGAUCCUGGGGUAGGGGAGCGUUGUAUGUAGGUUGAAGGUGUACCGUAAGGAGCGCUGGACAGCAUACAAGUGAGAAUGCCG
Molecule: ribosomal RNA, 117 nt
Filed under: Paenibacillus sp. FSL R7-0333
Lineage: Bacteria; Bacillati; Bacillota; Bacilli; Caryophanales; Paenibacillaceae
Description: partial 23S ribosomal RNA
Source: RNAcentral